RNAcentral lists this non-coding RNA (722 nucleotides) under Pan troglodytes (chimpanzee). The record is from RNAcentral. Lineage: Eukaryota; Metazoa; Chordata; Mammalia; Primates; Hominidae.
GGGGGGCGCGGACACGCGUGGUGUGCGCGGUCCCCGUGCAGCCCGCCCUGCCGCAGGCUGCCCUCCACCCCCAGCCCCAGCCCCAGCCCCCAGCCCGUCCCUACUGCUCAUAUCCGAGCAGAUAGACCCCGGCCCCACCCUCCCGUGCUGAGCCUCCUUUCUGCCGGGAAGUUCGUCCGGGAGUCAAACAUCGCUGCCCUCCGGUUGCGCCACGGAGGGGGAGCCAGGAUAGGAAGCUGCCGUGAAAUCAGGAAGCUGAGCGCGCCGGGCCCCGGAUCCGAUCAGAAAAGGCUUCCACCCGCUCCCCUGAGGGAUCCCACGCUGAGGGACUGAACCCCGCACCCCAGCCGCGCUCACCACCCCCACCCUCUCGCCUGGGCUGCUCUGACCUGGGGUUCACUUUCUGAAGAUGAUUCUGAAGAAGAAGAGGAAUUGGAAGAGGAAUCCGAGCCUUCUGAAUGAAUUCCAGAACUGCCACUCAAAGUGCCAUAUGAGGAGCUGUGGUAACAGGGUAAUGUUCUCACGACUCAAAAAUCAGUGGAAAAAGGUACAGGAUGAGAAGCCUUGUUUCCCAACCCUAUCAACAGGGCUGUGCUGUUUCCCUCUACCACGAAUGCUCUUCUUAAAUACGGCUCACUUCAUCUCCUUCUGAUACCUGCUUAAAUGUCAUCUUCUCAAAAUGGCCUUGUCUGACCAACUUAUUAAAAUAGUAUCCCAACUAC